UUCCCCCGUAGCUCAACGGCAGAGCAUUCGACUGUUAAUCGAAGGGUUGUUGGUUCGAAUCCAACCGGGGGAGCCGA
This 77-nucleotide transfer RNA is filed under the name Micrococcus luteus SK58. Its description in RNAcentral is "tRNA-Asn". It matches the Rfam family "tRNA". Rfam says of the family: Transfer RNA (tRNA) molecules are approximately 80 nucleotides in length. Their secondary structure includes four short double-helical elements and three loops (D, anti-codon, and T loops). Lineage: Bacteria; Bacillati; Actinomycetota; Actinomycetes; Micrococcales; Micrococcaceae. The record is from RNAcentral.